CCUGGUGGCUUAGACGGUAAAGCGUCUGCCUACAAUGCUGGAGGCCUGGGUUCAAUCCCUGGGUCAGGA
Molecule: transfer RNA, 69 nt
Filed under: Bos taurus (domestic cattle)
Lineage: Eukaryota; Metazoa; Chordata; Mammalia; Artiodactyla; Bovidae
Also listed under: 4 other names
Rfam family: tRNA
About the family: Transfer RNA (tRNA) molecules are approximately 80 nucleotides in length. Their secondary structure includes four short double-helical elements and three loops (D, anti-codon, and T loops).
Source: Rfam by way of RNAcentral